RNAcentral lists this ribosomal RNA (467 nucleotides) under uncultured bacterium. RNAcentral's name for it is "partial 16S ribosomal RNA". It matches the Rfam family "Bacterial small subunit ribosomal RNA", at positions 28 to 507 of the family's 1533-position model. The record is from RNAcentral.
GACGAACGCUGGCGGCGUGCUUAACACAUGCGAGUCGAACGGAAAGGCCUCUUUCGGGGGGUACUCGAGUGGCGAACGGGUGAGUAACACGUGAGUAACCUGCCCUUGACUUUGGGAUAACUUCAGGGAACUGGGGCUAAUACCGGAUAGGAGCUCCUGCUGCAUGGUGGGGGUUGGAAAGUUUCGGCGGUUGGGGAUGGACUCGCGGCUUAUCAGCUUGUUGGUGGGGUAGUGGCUUACCAAGGCUUUGACGGGUAGCCGGCCUGAGAGGGUGACCGGCCACAUUGGGACUGAGAUACGGCCCAGACUCCGACGGGAGGCAGCAGUGGGGAAUAUUGCACAAUGGGUGGAAGCCUGAUGCAGCAACGCCGUGUGCGGGAUGACGGCCUUCGGGUUGUAAACCGCUUUCGCUCAUGACGAAGCUUUGUGUGACGGUAGUGGGUAAAGAAGCACCGGCUAACUACGUG